UCUGGUAAUGAUGGCAGAGAGGUCACACCCGUUCCCAUACCGAACACGGAAGUUAAGCUCUCUAGCGCCGAUGGUAGUUGGGGCCUUGUCCCUGUGAGAGUAGGACGUUGCCAGGC
This 116-nucleotide ribosomal RNA is filed under the name Bacillus cereus. Lineage: Bacteria; Bacillati; Bacillota; Bacilli; Caryophanales; Bacillaceae. The record is from RNAcentral. RNAcentral also lists the same sequence under 14 other names.